AUCCAGCUGAGGAGUCCUAAAUAGGACGAAGUGGGCAUCCUGAAU
Molecule: non-coding RNA, 45 nt
Filed under: Trichobilharzia regenti
Lineage: Eukaryota; Metazoa; Platyhelminthes; Trematoda; Strigeidida; Schistosomatidae
Source: RNAcentral